GACGAACGCUGGCGGCGUGCCUAAUACAUGCAAGUAGAACGCUGAAGAGAGGAGCUUCCUCUUCUUGGAUGAGUUGCGAACGGGUGAGUAACGCGUAGGUAACCUGCCUUGUAGCGGGGGAUAACUAUUGGAAACGAUAGCUAAUACCGCAUAACAAUGGAUGACACAUGUCAUUUAUUUUAAAGGGGCAAUUGCUCCACUACAAGAUGGACCUGCGUUGUAUUAGCUAGUAGGUGAGGUAAUGGCUCACCUAGGCGACGAUACAUAGCCGACCUGAGAGGGUGAUCGGCCACACUGGGACUGAGACACGGCCCAGACUCCUACGGGAGGCAGCAGUAGGGAAUCUUCGGCAAUGGGGGCAACCCUGACCGAGCAACGCCGCGUGAGUGAAGAAGGUUUUCGGAUCGUAAAGCUCUGUUGUAAGUCAAGAACGGGUGUGAGAGUGGAAAGUUCACACUGUGACGGUAGCUUACCAGAAAGGGACGGCUAACUACGUG
This 497-nucleotide ribosomal RNA is filed under the name uncultured bacterium. Its description in RNAcentral is "partial 16S ribosomal RNA". It matches the Rfam family "Bacterial small subunit ribosomal RNA", at positions 28 to 507 of the family's 1533-position model. The record is from RNAcentral.